GAACGCACAUUGCGCCCCUUGGUAUUCCAUGGGGCAUGCCUGUUCGAGCGUCAUUUGUACCCUCAAGCUCUGCUUGGUGUUGGGUGUUUGUCCACUCCCUGGUGUUUGGACUCGCCUUAAAGCAAUUGGCAGCCAGUGUUUUGGUAUUGAAGCGCAGCACAUUUUGCGAUUCUAGCCUGAAAUACUAGCAUCCAGCAAGUCAUUUUUCACUUUUGACCUCGGAUCAGGUAGGGAUACCCGCUGAACUUAAG
RNAcentral lists this unclassified non-coding RNA (251 nucleotides) under uncultured Pleosporales. RNAcentral's name for it is "sequence contains 5.8S rRNA gene". The stretch from base 1 to 53 matches the Rfam family "5.8S ribosomal RNA", at positions 102 to 154 of the family's 154-position model. Lineage: Eukaryota; Fungi; Ascomycota; Dothideomycetes; Pleosporales. The record is from RNAcentral.